GUCACACCCGUUCCCAUCCCGAACACGGUAGUUAAGCUUCUCUGCGCCAAUGGUAGUUGGGGGCUUCCCCCUGCGAGAGUAGGUCGCUGCCGGGC
This 95-nucleotide ribosomal RNA is filed under the name Listeria monocytogenes. Lineage: Bacteria; Bacillati; Bacillota; Bacilli; Caryophanales; Listeriaceae. The record is from RNAcentral. RNAcentral also lists the same sequence under 1 other name.